CACGUUGGUAUCUGCCCCCAAGUCAGGGAUAGCCAUUGGAAACGAUGAUUAAUACCGGAUAGUCUCUUCGGAGUAAAGAUUUAUUGCUUGGGGAGGAGCCUGCGUUCUAUCAGCUUGUUGGUAGUGUAAAAGACUACCAAGGCUAUGACGGAUACCUGGUCUGAGAGGAUGAUCAGGCACAAUGGAACUGAGACACGGUCCAUACUCCUACGGGAGGCAGCAGUGAGGAAUCUUCCACAAUGGACGAAAGUCUGAUGGAGCGACACCGCGUGAAGGAUGAAGGCCUAACGGUUGUAAACU
This 300-nucleotide ribosomal RNA is filed under the name uncultured bacterium. RNAcentral describes it as "bacterial SSU rRNA". It matches the Rfam family "Bacterial small subunit ribosomal RNA", at positions 114 to 431 of the family's 1533-position model. The record is from RNAcentral.